CCCUUAGACGUUCUGGGCCGCACGCGCGCUACACUGACGAAGGCAACGAGCUACUCUUCACCGAAAGGUGUGGGUAAUCUUUUGAAACUUCGUCGUGCUGGGGAUAGAUCCUUGCAAUUUUUGAUCUUAAACGAGGAAUUCCUAGUAAGCGCAAGUCAUCAACUUGCGUUGAUUACGUCCCUGCCCUUUGUACACACCGCCCGUCGCUACUACCGAUUGAAUGGUUUAGUGAGGCCGUCGGAUCCGCGAUUUUAUUGUGGAGAAGUUGGACAAACUCAGUCAUUUAGAGGAAGUAAAAGUCGUAACA
This 307-nucleotide ribosomal RNA is filed under the name uncultured eukaryote. Its description in RNAcentral is "partial 18S ribosomal RNA". It matches the Rfam family "Eukaryotic small subunit ribosomal RNA", at positions 1470 to 1796 of the family's 1831-position model. The record is from RNAcentral.